This 205-nucleotide small RNA is filed under the name Marmota monax (woodchuck). RNAcentral's name for it is "U2 spliceosomal RNA". It matches the Rfam family "U2 spliceosomal RNA". From Rfam's summary of the family: U2 is a small nuclear RNA (snRNA) component of the spliceosome (involved in pre-mRNA splicing). Complementary binding between U2 snRNA (in an area lying towards the 5' end but 3' to hairpin I) and the branchpoint sequence (BPS) of the intron results the bulging out of an unpaired adenosine, on the BPS, which initiates a nucleophilic attack at the intronic 5' splice site, thus starting the first of two transesterification reactions that mediate splicing. The record is from Rfam by way of RNAcentral. Lineage: Eukaryota; Metazoa; Chordata; Mammalia; Rodentia; Sciuridae.
AUCGCUUCUCGGCCUUUUGGCUAAGAUCAAGUGUGAAAAAUCAGGCUUUGGACAUAGAAUACUUGUAUCUGAGAUUUGAAUCCAACACUUAUCACCAAAAUGAGUAUUAAGUUUUCAAAAAAUCUCUGCCCGUUUUUCCAUGUGUAAAAUAGGCAAGUAACAGUAUCUGGACUUUAUUCUCCCUUCCUGUUUAACUGGAAAUUUG